This 484-nucleotide ribosomal RNA is filed under the name uncultured bacterium. Its description in RNAcentral is "bacterial SSU rRNA". It matches the Rfam family "Bacterial small subunit ribosomal RNA", at positions 28 to 507 of the family's 1533-position model. The record is from RNAcentral.
GACGAACGCUGGCGGCGUGCCUAACACAUGCAAGUCGAACGGGGUAAGCUCUUCGGAACUUACUUAGUGGCGAACGGGUGAGUAACGCGUGAGAAACCUGCCUUUCAGUGGGGGACAACAGUUGGAAACGAUUGCUAAUACCGCAUAACGUAUUUAAGGGGCAUCCCUUGAAUACCAAAGAUUUAUUGCUGAAAGAUGGUCUCGCGUCUGAUUAGCUAGUUGGUGGGUAACGGCCCACCAAGACGAUGAUGCGUAGCCGGACUGAGAGGUUGAACGGCCACAUUGGGACUGAGACACGGCCCAGACUCCUACGGGAGGCAGCAGUAGGGAAUCUUCGGCAAUGGGCGAAAGCCUGACCGAGCAACGCCGCGUGAAUGAUGAAGGCCUUCGGGUUGUAAAAUUCUGUUAUAAGGGAAGAACGACUUUAGUAGGAAAUGGCUAGAGUGUGACGGUACCUUAUGAGAAAGCCACGGCUAACUACGUG